Long non-coding RNA from Melanotaenia boesemani (Boeseman's rainbowfish), 322 nucleotides. RefSeq lists it as uncharacterized. The transcript is spliced from 3 exons. The record is from RefSeq and is a predicted model, not a curated record. Lineage: Eukaryota; Metazoa; Chordata; Actinopteri; Atheriniformes; Melanotaeniidae.
UAAAUAAAUUUGUUUUGUUUUUUUCUUAACAUGGUUAAAAACAGACUAUUGACCAUGAUUUUGUUUUAAGUGGUCAGUUACUAACUACGCCAUUGUAUCCUCACCAGGUGAUUUAUCGUGUCAAGUACACUGGAUGAAGGACAACAGCAUUGAGUGCAGAAGACAGGCUGUGAUCAGAGGUCUCAGUCUCUACCUUGGAGAAAAGACAGAAGAACUAAUCAAGGACUACAAGGUUUUUGAUGAUGACGAUGCUGCGACUGUCCAAGAGGCCCUGACUACACACGUUCUCAACAUCUUCGUGGUCAGCAAAGCCAGAGAUGAA